RNAcentral lists this ribosomal RNA (406 nucleotides) under uncultured bacterium. RNAcentral's name for it is "partial 16S ribosomal RNA". It matches the Rfam family "Bacterial small subunit ribosomal RNA", at positions 30 to 526 of the family's 1533-position model. The record is from RNAcentral.
AUUGAACGCUGGCGGCAGGCUUAACACAUGCAAGUCGAGCGAGAGGCGGACGGGUGAGUAAGGUAGUAGAACCUGCCUGACGUAGGGGGAUAACUGCUGGAAACGGUAGCUAAUACUGCUAACAAUAAGCUGUGCCCAGAUGGGAUUAGCUAGAAGGUGGGGUAAUGGCUCACCUAGGCGACGAUCCCUAGCUGGUCUGAGAGGAUGACCAGCCACACUGGAACUGAGACACGGUCCAGACUCCUACGGGAGGCAGCAGUGGGGAAUAUUGCACAAUGGGCGCAAGCAUGAUGCAGCCAUGCCGCGUGUGUGAAGAAGGCCUUCGGGUUGUAAAGCACUUUCAGCGAGGAGGCGUUACUCGCAGAAGAAGCAACGGCUAACUCCGUGCCAGCAGCCGCGGUAAUUC